AUGACCAGGCUAGGUUGGGCCGCCACUGAAGGUAGCCACAUGCUGAGGCUAAGACGCCAGCCCAGACCACCCACGACCCACCAACGCACGCGCAGCAGCCGGCCCUCCUACCAGGGCACAACAUCUCCGAAGGACCUCCUCGUCGCCUUCACCAGGGCACAACAUCUCCGAAGGACCUCCUCGUCGCCGACGGCACUGUGCAGGCUUUGCCCGGCGGUGUACCAUGGCGGCGCGGAGAGGAGAAGAGGUGAUCUAGGUUUUCUUAUGGAGGCGGGUGAAGAGCAGAAUCAUACCUCAACCUAA
This 303-nucleotide ribosomal RNA is filed under the name Triticum aestivum (bread wheat). RNAcentral's name for it is "partial small subunit ribosomal RNA". Lineage: Eukaryota; Viridiplantae; Streptophyta; Magnoliopsida; Poales; Poaceae. The record is from RNAcentral.